This 1827-nucleotide long non-coding RNA is filed under the name Daphnia pulex (common water flea). RNAcentral's name for it is "uncharacterized LOC124205401, transcript variant X3". The record is from RNAcentral. Lineage: Eukaryota; Metazoa; Arthropoda; Branchiopoda; Diplostraca; Daphniidae.
ACACAGCCGUGAACCGACCAGAGAUCUAUUGCUCUGGUUUUGGCAAGUUUUGGGCUUCCAUAUCAUUUAAUGUUCUAAACGACUGUCGUUUGUCAUUUGUUUUCAAAUGAAUAAUUAUGUUUGUGACGCAGACGAUAUGUUUUCUUUUCCAAGAAACUUGUUGUAGACAUCUGUUUUUUCCUUAAUUUGGAAAGGUAUGUUGACUGAAAAGAUGUUUUUCACUGGAGGAGCUGGGUAUAUCGGAAGCCCCUGUGUAGUUAUUGAGCUUAUGGAACUGGCUAUCUGGUUAUUUCUUGUGAGAAGUUUGGGAAGAUUGGCUGCUUCUGGAAGUGAUAGCAUUCAGUUAAGCCGAGUAAUAAAAGAAAUAUCCUUGACAUUGCCAAGGAAUAAGUCAUUGGAAAGAAUAAUUCACUAUACAGUAGCGAAGAAGUUAAAGGCGAAGAAGUUAAAUCUCAAGAACAGAGCUAAGAAACGCCCAAUUGAUUAUUCUCCCAGCAAAGAUUCAUCAAGUAGUUCAUUCAGGGCUGAUAAAGAGAAGUCAAAGUUGCAGAAGGAGCUGUUGUCUUCUGUUGUCUCUGCAGUCGAGCUUAUGUCUCAAGUUGAGUCAGCCUACAAAGAAAGGGCCAGUUAAAACGUACACCAAGCAAGUAGAAAAGUUAGAGUUGCACGUUCAUGAGUACACACUCUAAGUGGAAGAGCUCAACAGCAUAUUAUCGACAUCAGCAGCCACAAAACUCGAAAACAUUGAACCAAGGAAGUUCGAUAGCUGAAAUUCAGCUACGAAAAUAUCAGCUAUUUGAAGACCAACUCAGCUCAAGCCAAAUCAAUUCGAACAUCUGCGUCGUCGCUUUGACGACAAAGAACGCAUCCAAGUACGAACAUGCCUUCACUUUUCUUACCGAAGAGAUCGAAGAAAUCAGGCGCAAAUUUCAAAUCCAGGUUACAUAACUGAAAAACAGAUCAGUGCUUUGAUUUCCAAAUGCUCAGGUUUGGAGAAGAGGACGUCACGUCUACAGAGUGAGGUAGACGUUCUCAUUAUCGAUUUGGAGAAGGCUAAUAGCACCGCCGCAAGCAACUGGAGCUCAUCAACAUUUCAAACAAUUCAACAAAUUCAAAUUGGAUGAGAUUGAGCUGACUGUCCUUUACUACGCUUCCAAGAGAGAUAAUCGUAACAAGGCGACAGAUUUCCCAUUUGACUCACGAACCGGGCAAAACUUGCGAACUGAAAGAUCAGCUUACCCGUUAAAACAAGAAAUUGGGCGAUGAGAACGCUGAGCUUAAGAGCCAGUACUCUGAACUCAACUGCAGAUUCCAUGAGUUAGAAAUUGAAUAUCGCCGUCUAGAAAACGAACGUGAAGAGUUGGCAUACAAAGAAAUUCAGAGGCUGCUCGUAAAGGUGAAGAAUAUCGCGUUCAACUCAUGGAAUUUCAGCUGAGAUGAACGAAUCCAUCUCGAUAUGGAACACUUACCGAUAAGGAGGAAGAGCUCGAGUCUAUCAAGAAGCAAAUGUCUAUAUCUAAAUCAACCAGUUGAACUCUCGUCUUGUCCAUGCGGAAACCAAGUUGAAAACCGAAAUUCAGUGCAUCCGGAAAAAGAUGAUGAUCACAAUCACCGAGUUGGAAAUGAAAUUCGACGUUGCAAACAAAGACAACAUAUCGAGCAAUCCCUGCAAAUUGUCGUAAAUUUUUAGGCAGCUAUCCAAUUAUCUGGUUUUUUGCAUAUUAUCAGUUUCUACUCUUGAUAUGUUGUAUUGAAAUUUGGCAAAGUUUUCAUUUUGUAUAACGUAAAGGAAAACAAUAAAUAUCUUGAGAUUUAUUUUUAUCAAAA